This 498-nucleotide ribosomal RNA is filed under the name uncultured bacterium. Its description in RNAcentral is "partial 16S ribosomal RNA". It matches the Rfam family "Bacterial small subunit ribosomal RNA", at positions 29 to 523 of the family's 1533-position model. The record is from RNAcentral.
AACGAACGCUGGCGGCAGGCCUAAAACAUGCAAGUCGAACGGUAACAGGUCUUCGGAUGCUGACGAGUGGCGAACGGGUGAGUAACACAUCGGAACGUGCCCGAGAGUGGGGGAUAACGAGGCGAAAGCUUUGCUAAUACCGCAUACGAUCUCAGGAUGAAAGCAGGGGACCGCAAGGCCUUGCGCUCACGGAGCGGCCGAUGGCAGAUUAGGUAGUUGGUGGGAUAAAAGCUUACCAAGCCGACGAUCUGUAGCUGGUCUGAGAGGACGACCAGCCACACUGGGACUGAGACACGGCCCAGACUCCUACGGGAGGCAGCAGUGGGGAAUUUUGGACAAUGGGCGCAAGCCUGAUCCAGCCAUGCCGCGUGCAGGAUGAAGGCCUUCGGGUUGUAAACUGCUUUUGUACGGAACGAAAAGACUCUGGUUAAUACCUGGGGUCCAUGACGGUACCGUAAGAAUAAGCACCGGCUAACUACGUGCCAGCCGCCGCCGUAA